UCUACGGGUGGCAGCAGUGAGGAAUAUUGGUCAAUGGCCGGGAGGCUGAACCAGCCAAGUCGCGUGAGGGAAGACGGCCCUACGGGUUGUAAACCUCUUUUGUCAGGGAGCAAGGUGCAGGUCGGGACCUGCUGUGAGAGUACCUGAAGAAAAAGCAUCGGCUAACUCCGUGCCAGCAGCCGCGGUAAUACGGGGGAUGCGAGCGUUAUCCGGAUUUAUUGGGUGUAAAGGGUGCGCAGGCGGAGGCACAAGUCAGCGGUAAAAUCGCGGGGCUCAACCCCGCUCCGCCGUUGAAACUGUGUCCCUUGAGUGCGCGAAGGGUAGGCGGAAUGCGUGGUGUAGCGGUGAAAUGCUUAGAUAUUGCGCAGAACUCCGAGUGCGAAGGCAGCAUACCGGCGGCGAUCUGACGCUGAGGCACGAAAGCGUGGGUAUCGAACAGGAUUAGAUACCCGUGUAGUC
RNAcentral lists this ribosomal RNA (459 nucleotides) under uncultured bacterium. Its description in RNAcentral is "partial 16S ribosomal RNA". It matches the Rfam family "Bacterial small subunit ribosomal RNA", at positions 338 to 795 of the family's 1533-position model. The record is from RNAcentral.